GGUGUUUUAAAUGUUAUAUGUUUUUUGUUAUGCAGUCAGUCACUGAUCAGUUGGGGAGGUAGUACGUCUAUUUUUUUUUUAAUGGAUGAAGAGAGGGGAAUUAAAUUAUCAAUAAAUGUACAGGGACUAAAUUCCCCACAGAAACGACAGUUAGUACUAAAACAAUUAAGGGAUCUCAAUGUGUCGAUCAGAUUUUUACAGGAGACUCACUGGAAGCAUAAUGCUCCCAUGUUGAAGAGCUCUUAUUACCCAGUUGUCAUCUCUUCUGUAUACAGAGCUAAG
Molecule: non-coding RNA, 282 nt
Organism: Pelobates cultripes (western spadefoot toad)
Lineage: Eukaryota; Metazoa; Chordata; Amphibia; Anura; Pelobatidae
Source: the annotation of a GenBank genome assembly